Molecule: transfer RNA, 73 nt
Filed under: Loxodonta africana (African savanna elephant)
Lineage: Eukaryota; Metazoa; Chordata; Mammalia; Proboscidea; Elephantidae
Rfam family: tRNA
About the family: Transfer RNA (tRNA) molecules are approximately 80 nucleotides in length. Their secondary structure includes four short double-helical elements and three loops (D, anti-codon, and T loops). Further hydrogen bonds mediate the characteristic L-shaped molecular structure. tRNAs have two regions of fundamental functional importance: the anti-codon, which is responsible for specific mRNA codon recognition, and the 3' end, to which the tRNAs corresponding amino acid is attached (by aminoacyl-tRNA synthetases). tRNAs cope with the degeneracy of the genetic code in two manners: having more than one tRNA (with a specific anti-codon) for a particular amino acid; and 'wobble' base-pairing, i.e. permitting non-standard base-pairing at the 3rd anti-codon position.
Source: Rfam by way of RNAcentral
ACCUGGGUGGCAUAAUUAGUUAAGCAUUUGACUAGUAACUGAAAGGUUGGUGGUUCAAACCCACCCAUAGGUG